Molecule: long non-coding RNA, 364 nt
Filed under: Equus caballus (horse)
Lineage: Eukaryota; Metazoa; Chordata; Mammalia; Perissodactyla; Equidae
Description: lncRNA (ENSECAG00000028659.3)
Source: RNAcentral
CAGCUGACAGGAGGCACUGGAGGGCGACUGAGAGGUAUGAAAGAAUGCUACAAAGUUCCAAGGGACAUGGGCUCACAAUAACUCAAAACACUUCAAGCCUGAUAGAUUUUAAACACACCCUGAUACUUCGAGUCUCAACAGGACUGCUCAUUCAUAACGGCGAGUGCGUUUUAAUUGCUGAACAGCAGGAGAAUGACUUUGGGUCUUUCGGGUGCGCAGACUGGAAAUCCCAGGAUGCCUCACUAUCAGAACUGAGGAAGAGCGGCAUCAGACCCCUGGCCCCGGAUCGAGACUUUCACUCCUCCGAAAUGAGAUAAAUUGUUUUCCAGAACUUAAUAAACAUUUAAUAAAGUUUGGCUUCCCA